CAUAGGUUAAUGAGGCGAACCGGGGGAACUGAAACAUCUAAGUACCCCGAGGAAAAGAAAUCAACCGAGAUUCCCCCAGUAGCGGCGAGCGAACGGGGAGGAGCCCAGAGCCUGAAUCAGUGUGUGUGUUAGUGGAAGCGUCUGGAAAGGCGCGCGAUACAGGGUGACAGCCCCGUACACAAAAAUGCACAUGCUGUGAGCUCGAUGAGUAGGGCGGGACACGUGGUAUCCUGUCUGAAUAUGGGGGGACCAUCCUCCAAGGCUAAAUACUCCUGACUGACCGAUAGUGAACCAGUACCGUGAGGGAAAGGCGAAAAGAACCCCGGCGAGGGGAGUGAAAAAGAACCUGAAACCGUGUACGUACAAGCAGUGGGAGCCUCUUAAUGGGGUGACUGCGUACCUUUUGUAUAAUGGGUCAGCGACUUAUAUUCUGUAGCAAGGUUAACCGAAUAGGGGAGCCGAAGGGAAACCGAGUCUUAACUGGGCGUUAAGUUGCAGGGUAUAGACCCGAAACCCGGUGAUCUAGCCAUGGGCAGGUUGAAGGUUGGGUAACACUAACUGGAGGACCGAACCGACUAAUGUUGAAAAAUUAGCGGAUGACUUGUGGCUGGGGGUGAAAGGCCAAUCAAACCGGGAGAUAGCUGGUUCUCCCCGAAAGCUAUUUAGGUAGCGCCUCGUGAAUUCAUCUCCGGGGGUAGAGCACUGUUUCGGCAAGGGGGUCAUCCCGACUUACCAACCCGAUGCAAACUGCGAAUACCGGAGAAUGUUAUCACGGGAGACACACGGCGGGUGCUAACGUCCGUCGUGAAGAGGGAAACAACCCAGACCGCCAGCUAAGGUCCCAAAGUCAUGGUUAAGUGGGAAACGAUGUGGGAAGGCCCAGACAGCCAGGAUGUUGGCUUAGAAGCAGCCAUCAUUUAAAGAAAGCGUAAUAGCUCACUGGUCGAGUCGGCCUGCGCGGAAGAUGUAACGGGGCUAAACCAUGCACCGAAGCUGCGGCAGCGACACUAUGUGUUGUUGGGUAGGGGAGCGUUCUGUAAGCCUGUGAAGGUGGCCUGUGAGGGUUGCUGGAGGUAUCAGAAGUGCGAAUGCUGACAUAAGUAACGAUAAAGCGGGUGAAAAGCCCGCUCGCCGGAAGACCAAGGGUUCCUGUCCAACGUUAAUCGGGGCAGGGUGAGUCGACCCCUAAGGCGAGGCCGAAAGGCGUAGUCGAUGGGAAACAGGUUAAUAUUCCUGUACUUGGUGUUACUGCGAAGGGGGGACGGAGAAGGCUAUGUUGGCCGGGCGACGGUUGUCCCGGUUUAAGCGUGUAGGCUGGUUUUCCAGGCAAAUCCGGAAAACCAAGGCUGAGGCGUGAUGACGAGGCACUACGGUGCUGAAGUGACAAAUGCCCUGCUUCCAGGAAAAGCCUCUAAGCAUCAGGUAACAUCAAAUCGUACCCCAAACCGACACAGGUGGUCAGGUAGAGAAUACCAAGGCGCUUGAGAGAACUCGGGUGAAGGAACUAGGCAAAAUGGUGCCGUAACUUCGGGAGAAGGCACGCUGAUAUGUAGGUGAAGCGACUUGCUCGUGGAGCUGAAAUCAGUCGAAGAUACCAGCUGGCUGCAACUGUUUAUUAAAAACACAGCACUGUGCAAACACGAAAGUGGACGUAUACGGUGUGACGCCUGCCCGGUGCCGGAAGGUUAAUUGAUGGGGUUAGCGGUAACGCGAAGCUCUUGAUCGAAGCCCCGGUAAACGGCGGCCGUAACUAUAACGGUCCUAAGGUAGCGAAAUUCCUUGUCGGGUAAGUUCCGACCUGCACGAAUGGCGUAAUGAUGGCCAGGCUGUCUCCACCCGAGACUCAGUGAAAUUGAACUCGCUGUGAAGAUGCAGUGUACCCGCGGCAAGACGGAAAGACCCCGUGAACCUUUACUAUAGCUUGACACUGAACAUUGAGCCUUGAUGUGUAGGAUAGGUGGGAGGCUUUGAAGUGUGGACGCCAGUCUGCAUGGAGCCGACCUUGAAAUACCACCCUUUAAUGUUUGAUGUUCUAACGUUGGCCCCUAAUCGGGGUUGCGGACAGUGUCUGGUGGGUAGUUUGACUGGGGCGGUCUCCUCCUAAAGAGUAACGGAGGAGCACGAAGGUUGGCUAAUCCUGGUCGGACAUCAGGAGGUUAGUGCAAUGGCAUAAGCCAGCUUGACUGCGAGCGUGACGGCGCGAGCAGGUGCGAAAGCAGGUCAUAGUGAUCCGGUGGUUCUGAAUGGAAGGGCCAUCGCUCAACGGAUAAAAGGUACUCCGGGGAUAACAGGCUGAUACCGCCCAAGAGUUCAUAUCGACGGCGGUGUUUGGCACCUCGAUGUCGGCUCAUCACAUCCUGGGGCUGAAGUAGGUCCCAAGGGUAUGGCUGUUCGCCAUUUAAAGUGGUACGCGAGCUGGGUUUAGAACGUCGUGAGACAGUUCGGUCCCUAUCUGCCGUGGGCGCUGGAGAACUGAGGGGGGCUGCUCCUAGUACGAGAGGACCGGAGUGGACGCAUCACUGGUGUUCGGGUUGUCAUGCCAAUGGCACUGCCCGGUAGCUAAAUGCGGAAGAGAUAAGUGCUGAAAGCAUCUAAGCACGAAACUUGCCCCGAGAUGAGUUCUCCCUGAGACUUAGAGUCUCC
Molecule: ribosomal RNA, 2643 nt
Filed under: Escherichia coli
Lineage: Bacteria; Pseudomonadati; Pseudomonadota; Gammaproteobacteria; Enterobacterales; Enterobacteriaceae
Description: partial 23S ribosomal RNA
Rfam family: Bacterial large subunit ribosomal RNA
Source: RNAcentral